UCAGAAUACAUUGUUUAAUAUACAACUAAUAAUAUUGUAAAAAGUAUACGCACAAUUUGCUUGUUUUUUAUACUGAGUUAAUGUAUAAAUAAGUGUUGUAUGAGGUAUCAAAAUAUAGUAAAUACCUAUCUCGCAGUGGCUUUAGUAGUGCCACGUUUUCUGUUUUAUCGACAAUUUACCCUAUCACCGUCAUAUUGUACUGAUUCAACGCUAAUGAAUCGAUUUGUUUCUUCAAUGAUCCAAUAAUCCAUCCCCCCUUUCAGUUUUAAGAUUGUAAUUUGAAAACUCCCCUUAAUAAUAUGUCUGGCGAUGAUACUGUCG
Molecule: non-coding RNA, 321 nt
Organism: Cinara cedri
Lineage: Eukaryota; Metazoa; Arthropoda; Insecta; Hemiptera; Aphididae
Source: the annotation of a GenBank genome assembly